Molecule: ribosomal RNA, 398 nt
Filed under: Cryomonadida sp.
Lineage: Eukaryota; Cercozoa; Thecofilosea; Cryomonadida
Description: partial small subunit ribosomal RNA
Rfam family: Eukaryotic small subunit ribosomal RNA
Source: RNAcentral
AUUCCAGCUCCAAGAGCGUAUAUUAAAGUUGUUGCAGUUAAAAAGCUCGUAGUUGGAUUUCUGGUCUAAUGCGCCUGGCCCGCUGCCGUUAGGUAUGUGAGUGCCGGUGCGCGUUUACCAUCCUUCCAGAGAACACUUCUACCAUUUAUUUGGACGGAUGUUGUCUUCUGGAUCUUUUACUUUGAAAAAAUUAGAGUGUUUAAAGCAGGCCUUUGCUGUGAAUACAUUAGCAUGGAAUAAUAAUCUAGGACUUCGGUUCUAUUUUGUUGGUUUCUAGUACUGAAGUAAUGAUUGAUAGGGAUAGUUGGGGGUGCUAGUAUUGGCCGGCCAGAGGUGAAAUUCUUGGAUUCGGUCAAGACUAACUUAUGCGAAAGCAUUCACCAAGGACGUCUUCAUUG